Molecule: long non-coding RNA, 1153 nt
Organism: Zingiber officinale
Lineage: Eukaryota; Viridiplantae; Streptophyta; Magnoliopsida; Zingiberales; Zingiberaceae
Exons: 6
Source: RefSeq, a predicted model, not a curated record
CGCUAACCUGCACGGCGAGGACGACAGCGGACAGAUCAGACGGACGUGAUUUGACUUUGCUUCUGAUUCGGUGGAUCCACACCGUACGAGGUAACAAACACACAAAUAAACAAAAUAAAAAGCCAAUGAUGACACACUGCUUCAUCUGCUUUAACCCUUAUAGAAUCAACUGUGUUCUUUUCCCUAUUCAAUUCAAUGAUGCAGUAAUGGUCACUCAUCCCUGAUGCAAUUCGACAUGAUCAAAUAAUGGAGAUAGAUGCGAGGCAAGUGACAAAAAAGAACAAGAUGUCAGAUAAAGAUUAGUUCUUGGUGCAUUCCUUACCCAUAUGAAGGUUCUUCACUGUGCAUGUCUUGGCUUCUCAUUUGCUUGUAUUUCCUCUCAAAUGCUAUUCUUAUGCGUUCUCCAGCCUGCGAAGGACGUAAAACAUGAUCUUACGUAAAUAGCAAUUUCAUCAAUUGGAUGGAGGCAAAAUCAAUGCUGCUAUCAUAACCAUCACAUCCUGAACUGGGAAAGGCAUUACAUAAUCUAGAAGAGGAUGAACGCGACGAUGCAGACCGGAAAAGAGCAAUUGGAUUCAUCAUUUUUACUGUCGAAGGAAUGCAGAGUUAAAUGGAUCCCCCAUCUUUUUCUCAUAUUGGUUGAAAGGAAUGCCCAGCAUUUCGGGGCUCAAUUUCUUCACGGGCAUGAAUGGAGGCAGAGUGAAGGUGUCCGGAAAAGUGUCGGGUUGCUCAUCUGCAUCAACAAAAUUGCAAAGGGCAUCGGAGACUCGCUUUAGCGACUGAAUAGCUGGACAGCCUCCUCAUCUUCCAACCUCGAAGCCGAGCAUCCCAUCUCUUCAAGACUGUCUAGGAAUGUUUCAGAUUGAAACCACAAUUUUGCAAGCCGAAGGAAAGAAGAUGAUAUCUGUUUGAGAAGCUCUCCUGAGGUAUGAGGAUUGAAAGAACUUGCGAACAGUGGAGGUAACUUUAUAUCCCCUUUGGAUCUGCUCUCUCCUCAGCAAAGAAAAUUCAGUCAGCAGAAACCCUUCUCCAGACUGAACCUUGGGAUCAAGGUAAUCGGUACGUCAACGAUUUACCAUUUCGACAUCUUAUUACUUCACGUAAUACUGGAAUGAUUAAGAAAAAGACGAAGCACAAAAGAAAAUAUGUUGAA